GCCUCCGUGGUAUAGUGGUCAGCACGCUCGGCGCAUACUCGAGAGGCCUGUGGUUCGAAUCCCGGCGACGGCA
RNAcentral lists this transfer RNA (73 nucleotides) under Stegodyphus mimosarum. It matches the Rfam family "tRNA". From Rfam's summary of the family: Transfer RNA (tRNA) molecules are approximately 80 nucleotides in length. Their secondary structure includes four short double-helical elements and three loops (D, anti-codon, and T loops). The record is from Rfam by way of RNAcentral. Lineage: Eukaryota; Metazoa; Arthropoda; Arachnida; Araneae; Eresidae.